AGUGGAGGUUUUAUAUUAGACCCUAAAGCACCAAAUGCAAAGACAUUACAAAAAACGCCAGCAGGUGAGAAGUCUUCAACAGCUAAGGUGGUUAAAAACUUUAUACCCAUUCGUCCAAAACCCGCUAACCUUAAUGACAAGGGUACAACAGUAACCUUGAUCAAGUCAGGACAAACUCCAGUUGCCAAAAAAGGUGUACCAAGUGAAAUAGCGAAAGAAAUUGUUCGUAAACUGAAUGCUGAUUCAGUUCCCUCAAUUUUGAAAAGAAAAUUGCAAAAGCAAAGUGACGAAGGUGCUCAAGGAGACUCAACGUCAAGCAGCUCAACUCCUGCCAGAAAGCAAAGACUGUGCCCCCCAAAAAACCAACCAGGAAACAUCGGAAGGUCUUCGACUAUGAAUCCUACCUAAGAGAUCAUUUGGAGGCAGAGGUGAAAGACAAGAGACCAAAGAGCAUCCGUUCAGAAACUCUUACGCGGUCUUCACUAGUUGGAAUCAACGUCGCCCCAUCAAAAAUUAAAGUUGUUCCCUUUAACAUUCAAGCAAAGUCCACUCUUCUAAGGAAGAGCAAUGAAAAUGAUACAAACAAUGUUGUUCGAUCUGGAGAACGAACAUUGUAUGACUUGAUGCAGGAUGUGUCGCGCUUACUGCCAAGCUGGAAUUUGCAUGUCUUACCAGAUUCCAACUCUUUUUGCAUAGCGCAAGUUUGCCGCGGAAGGUCUGGAAUCCCAACAUUGAAAACCAGCAUCGAAUUGGAUGAGGAAUUUAAUGCCAAAGUGUUCAUCCACCAGUUGCAUUGUAAACGUUAUGAUGGCAUAUAUGACAGCGAAGAAAGUAUAUGUGCACUAAUUCAAGAGAUAGACACCCUAUCAAAGUGAAAGGGUAUUGUAAAAUGUUUUCAUAUUUAGGACGUUGAUAUGACAAUGAAGCCUUGUUGCAGAAUCGCCCCCAUCAAGAAGAAAAUAAGGAGGAGAAGAAGAAUACUAAAGAAAUGGAUAUUUACAUGGUGCCAUUUUGCACAGAGCUUCAAAUUAUUUUUCAUAGAAUGUUACAAUCUCAGUAUGCUUGGGAGGUCAGAAAUUGAAGUAAAAUUCAAAUUAAUUGUUCAGAGUCCUUUCAGGGUAGAAGAUUCUCACACUUGGAAUUCCUCUACUCUGAAACAAUUUCAGAAACGCCUAUGAAACCUCUCGUUGAUUUAAAACGACACAAAAUUCCUGUUCGAGUAGUAGGAGUCAGAUGUAUUUUGUUGUAUAUGUACAGGUGCUUGCUCGCCGAGUUCACAACAAAAAAUAUUCAACCUUCUCUUCUCCGAGGAGUGUGAUUCUCAGAAAAUGCUGUGCAGUGCCUCUAUUUUAACUGUCUCUCGCCCGUCUCUACUUUCUCUUCAGUUCAUCUCGUUUUGGAUCCCAAGCUUAGAAUAAAACAUGGCACGGUAUUCCUCUAGUGGCAAAUGGAGGGACGAGAGGGUUAUGAAAGAGGCCGAACAUAAAAUUUUUGACUGAAACUGCAAAUUAUGAUGUUAAUUUUUUCACAUUUUAUAUUAAAGGGGGGUUCGUAGAGAAUAUUGUACGAGAAAACCAAUGGAACCCCUUAAAAACCAUUACAUUUUGUAUUAAAGAAGAUACAAGUUUUUAAACUUUCUAAAUCACGUCCAACCUCUUUUAUCGACUCACUACACUGUGAAUCUCCGUAGCUCCACACUGAAAUUGCGUUAGCCUUCGAUUCGAUGUUUAUGCAAUUUGAGUUACCUACGCUAAAAUUUUAUCAUAGCGCGGACUAAGGACCUUCUUUACCAAAUGUUGUUUCGUUAGCGUCCUGGUACAGGGUCGGAUUAAGGGGGUGGCCACAUGGAUCGUCGCGGCCCAUGGCGGUAAAAUGUAGGGGGCGGCAAAUUUUGCAAUCUUUUUGAAUGUAGGUAUCAAAAAAAAAGAAGAAAAAAUCGGAUUCAGAAAAUAAAUUACGAACGAGAAAGGGCGACAAAAUCUCUCAUUUCCUGAGAGUAAGAGUAAAGUAAUUUCUAAUUUUGUGGUCUUUCGAUGACACUAAAGACAACACAUUUAAUUAGUUGAGUUGAGAGAGAAACAAAACACGCAAUUUGACCUUGAGCGGAGCGGCGCGGCGCAGAGAGCAAUGAUGACGAGGACUGAGAUAAAAAGGAGAAGCCCUCGGCACGGCGCGCGGCGGUCGGCAUGAAACGCAUAGCGCCUUCAAGACUGCAUGACUUCAAGACUUCACGCAUUUCGUCAAACACACUGCGGUCAGCAGCGGUCGGCGUGUAACGCAUAGCGCCUAGCAGUCGGCUUGAAACGCACAGCGCCUACAAGACUGCAUGAAUACUUCACGCAUUGCGUCAAACAGUGCAGUCAGCAACGGUCGCGUCGGCGUGAAACGCAUAGCGCCUACAAGACUUCAUGAAUACUUCACGCAUUUCGCCAAACACAGUGCGAUCGGCGCAGCGGCGGAAGUAAAAUAAUUUAACCACAUUUAUGUUUGUUCUUUCAUAAUUUUUCGUUCGUUUGUUAUAAAUGGAAGGCCUUGUCCAAACAGGGAUGGGUUUACGGAACUUAACUUUCUCGUAAGUUCCGUGAACUUUUGUUAGAGUUGACAGGGAUUUCACAAGAAAUGUGCCCAAUACGAGUAAACGCGUCUCAUACACCCCUCCCCACCGGCACGUUCACUUAACGAAUGAUAAGGGGGCGGAAAAAUACGAGCAGCCCAUGGGCGGCAAAGUAGGUAAAUCCGGCCCUGUCCUAGUAAAUAGCUUCUCUCCUUAUAUUAGAAUGUGCAUGCCUAAAAAAACCCCUCAACAGGACCUUAAAAAGUUCUUUCUCCCCAAACAAGAAUAAAAGGUAUCUUGUCUCUUGUUGUUACUCUCUCGCUAAGACCAGCUCGCCUCCAAUAUUUCGUUAGGCAAUGUGAGCGGCUUGAGAGUAGUAAAAACGGCUUCAAGCAGUUUUGUCAUGUUUGUUCAGUGGUAUCAUGCAUAAAAAGCGGGCGAGUUUCACCAGCUUUUUACGAUGUUCAGCACUCAUUCUGGUAUAGUUUCGUUGAUGAUUAGUCUAGAUAAUUCAAGAGGCCGUGAAUAAAAGCGGCAUCGCAAUAAAAUUAUGAUGCAAUUUUCUCAGCAUUGUCAAUUGCCUGUCUUUCUAAUACAUGCACCUAACCCAUCUUAUUGAUUACCUAUUGUUUGAGCUCGGCAUUUAUUGCCAAAAUUAUGUACCUAGUAAUAUUGUAAUUUAUGGUAAAAUAAUGCAAUAUUUUAACGCAAUAUUUUCAUUUGCUUUGAUCUACUCGGGUCAGGAGUCUAGGGUCCAUCCCUUAAAUCUCGCUCCUUCGCUUGACUUUUACAAUAUGUUAAAUGAAAACCCGGUGGGAUAGCUUACUCUGACAAGAUUUGAGGGUGGAGGCUUCGGUAAGGUUUGGGGGUGGAGAGCCUCUUAGAAUUUGGGGAGAGGGGAAAGGCCUUGUAAAGUUUGGGGGGGGGCGUCCAGUAAAUUUGAAGAGGAAGUUUUACACAACUUGAAGGGGGGAGCUUUUGUCAAACGAAGUUUCGGUCAAAGAAACCGAAUUUUGGUCAGAGAUGGGCGACCGUUCGGUUUCUGUAACAGAUACAUUUGGUUACUUGAACUUAUAAUAAGGGAGGUAUUUUUAGGCCCAAGAAUUGAUAGGCAUUAUAGUUAAGGGGACUUUUGGAAGCUCAAGCCACUGUUUCAUUGCAAGUGACAGCCUUCAUGUCAGAUUCUAACUCCUUUUUGGACAUCUCGUCGUUUUUGAUUGGCCUUAAGUUCCUAUAUUUGUACCGCACCGACAAUAAUAUGAGCAGCAUAACGUCCAGAAGCAUGAGGCCAGCAUAAAAUAAGAAUUCGAGGGACUGAAACAAAAAACAAAUCUCUCCAUCAUUGCAUUGCAUGCGAAGUCUUAAGACUUUGGUUAAAAUGCUUAUUUCGAUGGUGAAACUCCCAAACUAG
RNAcentral lists this long non-coding RNA (3965 nucleotides) under Bemisia tabaci. Its description in RNAcentral is "lncRNA ENSSSA3NGG009200". Lineage: Eukaryota; Metazoa; Arthropoda; Insecta; Hemiptera; Aleyrodidae. The record is from RNAcentral.